GUACACAAUUUUAAUAUGACUCAUAUUUCCAGAGGUUGUACAGUGUAUUCUGACAAUAGUAACAGAAUACAAGAAAGGAAAAAGAACAGCAGAGCCAUAUGGAGACAUGCAUCAUUGGCAGACCCAUUGAAGUGGGACUGAACAGCAGGCAGCAAGUUUAUACUCAUACAUCUUUGAGUUUAUUUCAUGCCCAACUGUGCAAGCACAAGAUAUAGGUGUAGAUUAUUUACACUUUUUGGAGAAUACCAAAAUGCAAUGGCUCAAGCUUUGAAUAAUACUUGGUAAAGGGGAAGAAGAUACGAUCUGUACAGAUCCCAAGUUAUCUGUACUCUUUUAUCAUCCCUCCAGUUUUUCUAAUACAUCUUUUGUGUUCUGUCAUUGCAAAGUUGACUUCUAGAUGUAGCUACAAGUGCUGAUUGUUCGUAGGCCAUAAUUGUACCCUUGAAGUUCAAAGAGUAAAAGACAUGAACUAACUAGAAGGAUGAUGUAACAACAUAUAGCUUGUACAUUGACUCAAAAUACAAGUAAAGAUUAAUGGAAGAAAAAAAUCAUUUAAAUACUGCUAAAUACAAAAUGUGAAUUCUUUACUUUUAUAGACUUGAAACCUCAAAACACUGAGAUGUAGGGAUUGACUGCAAAAGUUUCACUAAAUCAGUAUAUCACUGUGUUCUUUCACUCUUCCAUCGGCUCUCUGGGGCAGUAUUGGUGACUGCCAGAGGCAGCCCAGUAGGCCAAAUGAUCAUUUGGUGUAAUUUAGUAUGAUGUUCUGUGUUUUCAACCAGUGUCUAGAUACCAGCAUGUUUUCCUUUCGAAGGUUCAUUUUUGGCAUCCAAGUAAACUUGACUUUCUUCUAAGGUUUAUUCUACCAGUAUUUGUAUAUCAGUAUUUGUAAAUAUUUGUAAACUUAUAGUUUUACAAAUCACUCUCCAUUGGACCUACCACAGCUGUUUUUAAUGAUGCUUUGAAGAAGAAAACCUCUGUGAGAGUAUUUAAGCUUUUCCAGUUCGGUCUCUUAAGGAACACUUCUCUUUGUUACACAACAAGGACAUCAGAAUGACACGGGUGUGUUUUCACAGAGAUCAUCGAGUCCAACCCCACUGUGAAGCAGCCUCACUACAGCAGGCUGCACAGGUAGGCAUCCAGGUGAUUACAAGCUACAUAGCCACUUGCUAUCACCACAGUGUCAGUCAGUUACUCAAUAUGUCUAGAUCUGAAGGACAGUUAUUUAACACUGUGUUUGUGGAGUGCCUACAGUUUGUUCCUGGUCAGCUAUGUGGGAGUCUUCGCACAUCUGUGGUACUGUCCAUGCUGCUGCUGCUUCAGAGUCUUUCAUCAGCCUUUGUGACUUACCAUGUGCAUUGAAGUGCUGCAUUCUAACAGGAUAAAAUAAGGCCUUAUAAUUAAUUUUUCUGCAUUACUGAUUCAGCUGGAAGUUUUUGGUGCUCUGACCUUUCUGGGAGACAAAUUGUGGUCGUCUUCGCUGGCCUCAAAGUUUACUGACUUUGCAGAGCAUGCACAUCUCUGCUGCAUUACUGAGAAUUCCAGUAUUCUUAGUCCACAAAAUAAAUUUGUUUUAAAAUUAAUACUAAGGUAUAUGAUUUACAAGGACAUUCAAAAGCCCUUUGAAACAGUCUUUUUCAAUAGAUUAUUGAGAUAACUGAAUAGUUCUGGGUGAAAGUUAAAGUUCCGUCAUGAGUUGGAAACAUACAAAGAGACAGAAGAUAGAGUGGGAAUAAAUUGUCAAUUUUCAGAAUGGCAAAAGGUUAACAUUUCUGUCUACCACUGACCUGUACAUUAGAAGGCAUUGUUUAAUAUAUUUAUUAAUGAUUUGGAAAAAGGGCUGAAUUAUAUGGUAUAUGUCAAAAUUUCAAGUUGACCCGAAAACUUAUUUAGCCUUUUCAAGCUUUGAGGUGACUUUGUGGCCCUCCGGAGGAAUGUGGAAUGACAAGUAGUGAAUGUCAUGGUGGUAGAAGAAAGAGAGUAUUGAUUAAUAUGAUACAUUUUGAGGGAGUAAUUUAACUGCUUACAUUGAUAAUUUAACUGUUUGCACUGAUGGUUAAAAAUCAGUAUAGACAGGUUUUGAGAAGGAACACCACUGUCUUCUUGUAAGAAGACACAAAAAUCCUGCUUUACCGUACAGUACAAUUGAAACAAGGAGACAUUAUUUUAGGUAUAUGAAAAUUGAGAAGUGUGCUGACAAAAUAUCAUAAUACCAUUUUUAGUUUGAGGUAUGAUCUCAUGAAAUUAUGCUGAAUUUGGGAUGUUACAUUUUAAUAUAAAAAUACCAUUCAGUUGCCUGAAGAAGGAUCAUUUUUUGUGUCUCCACAGAUAUUUCCAUUAUGCACUCCCACUAUUUCAGACCGUAUAGUGUGUCUGUAUGUAGCUCCUAGUAAAGCUGUACUUUGAAAGCCACAGGGGAAUGUGGUUUCAUCCCCAUUCAUGUAUAUCUGUGUGAGACUUUGCUAUAUGUCAUAGUUUUUAUCAGCAAGCUAUUAUUUCAA
This is a non-coding RNA of Coturnix japonica (Japanese quail), 2501 nucleotides long. The record is from RefSeq and is a predicted model, not a curated record. NCBI's taxonomy places the organism in Eukaryota, Metazoa, Chordata, Aves, Galliformes, Phasianidae.